This is a long non-coding RNA of Tetranychus urticae (two-spotted spider mite), 2268 nucleotides long. RefSeq lists it as uncharacterized. Lineage: Eukaryota; Metazoa; Arthropoda; Arachnida; Trombidiformes; Tetranychidae. The record is from RefSeq and is a predicted model, not a curated record.
UGAUCAGAAAGUUCAACUUUUUUUAUGUUAAUAAUUUGUUUUGUUAAAAUUAUAUUUAUUAGUUCUGACUGUAUUUUCAUGAAUGAUAACAAUAAUAGAACAAUUUGUUUCAUUAAUCUUUAUUUGUAAAGAUACAUCUUAACAUUUCGACUUUGAUUGUUUUGUCAAUGAAUAGAGAUUAUUGUUGCUCUUUAUAAACCUCAAUUUUUCUUGCUUUACCUUUCAACCGCAAUUGUUAAAAUCGACUCAAUCGGAUCAAUUUAAUCUUGUAGACUUUUUUGUUGACAUUUCACUUGCUAACAUGUUAAUCUAUUCACCUUGAACUCUUGAAAUUUCAGUAUCAUUUCGAGAUUGUUUCACAACUUUACUGGUCUUCUUCCAUUCCUUCCUGGUCCAUUGUUGGUUCAACAGGUUUCUGGGAAACUCAUGUUUUUCACCUUUUCCAUUAAGCUAGAGAUGCUUGUUUUGACAGGAUUACAACUCAAUCAUUCACUUUAAUUCAACGUUUCUCUAAUUUAUUCAAAAAUUUGAUGGAUUUUGGAUGAAAAAUCGGAUCAUCGUUUUAAAAAGACUGCAAUUUUUUAAUCGAUUGCUCUCCAGUUAUCCUGAUUUUUAGGCAAAAUGAUGAAACAUCAAUUUUCCUUUUCAAUUUUCACUUUAUUUUUAGACCAAAAACAGUUACAUAAAAGUAUAAAUAGAUGAAAAUCUUCAUUUUCAUCUUCAAUUGAAGCAAUUAUUACAGAUUGCAGUUAAAGAUUAUGUGAGGUCAUUUGCUGGUCCUUAAGCAAUAUUCAUGAUUACAGUUGUAUCCCUGUAUUGGAUUUCCAGGAAUUUACUUUCAAUUUCUCAGCUAUAACUAAAGCAAUCAAAGCUAAAACCAUUAUUAUCAAUGUUCAAAGGAUCAUCUUCACCUUAAUCCAACCGUCCUGAUUUGAAAGUAUCAUUGAAACAAAAACUGGAUUAUCUCAUUGAAGCCAUUAAAUGAUGACUGAACCAAAAAGACCAGAAGUCGUUAACUAAAAUAGUUAAAAGCCUGCUACUUCUCAACCAGAUUUACUCAACUUCUUGAUUUUAAUGGACCAACAAAUCAUUGGUAACAAUCAAGAUCAACCAAAUCACCUUCUUUUUGCUGCUUCUCGAAAUAAUCAAGGUUAUAACCAAUAAGGAUCACAAUUCAAAUUUUAAUGGGAAACCAGAAAAAAAAGUCAACAUAAUAUUACAACUUCCUCCAUCGAUGUGUACUUCAAAAUCAACUUGAAAGUUAGACCAAUUGGUUUUAAUUGAAAACAGGAAGAAGGAAACGUUUUAAAUGUGAUUCAAUUUAAUUGUUGUAAUACAAUGUUAAUAUUAUAAAUGGAAAGCAAUAAGCAAUGGCCAUAAUUUAACCAUAAACAAUAAAAAGGUUGGACAGAAAGAAAAGGUGUUGUUGUUGUUUUUUCAUUUUCAUCAUUGUUACCUGAAUAGCAAUCUAACCUUGAAGCGUUGGCGUUCAGUCCAAGUGUAUAAAACCAAGUGCAAACCAUUCACUGCUGUUUCUGGCUCCUGCUUAACCAGAUUUUUCAACCAUUUUUUUUUGGGUUGCGCCAAGGUUAAACCUGAUUAAUAACAAUAAAAACAAACCCAGGCCAAUGUAAUGUCACAAUUAAUCCAAAAAUUUUCAUCAUCUCAUCAGCAUCUUACCUCCUCCUUAUCAUCAUCAUCAUAAUCACCAUUCUUCCUGCAAUGGAUUUCCACUUUCUCCUUGAAACAAACCAAGAAGAAGCAAACCGUUUCUUGCAUUUAAAACAACCUUGAUUAAAAUUCCCAAUCAAUCUAUUUUUAACCCAAACCAAACCCUCUCUAUGUGAAUUAACUUAAUUGUUAUACAAGAUACCAAAUAUAAACAUUGACCAUUCCAUUUAACCAGUUUUACCAGACGUUAUAACAAUUGAACCUCAGAUGUAUUUGGUCGUUAGGCAUAUUACUCCUUUUACCAUGUUGAUUGAAAAUUACAACGAGCUGACCAUGAAACUAAUAUUAUUAAUAACUUGAUUAACUGUAGUCUUGUCUUGUUUUUGUUUUGCUGUUAAUUGAGACUUAUUUACACUCUAUUUGUGCUUCAGUUUUGUUCAACUAUUUUUAAAUUUACAGUUCAAUUUUGGUGCCUUUUUUGAAAGGUUGCUUCAAGGCUGCAAGUUGUUGAUCUUAUAUUACAAUCACUUUAUUUACUGUUUUACCAACAAGAUUAACAACAAUUAACUAAUUGAUAAACAAAUAUUGUUAACAUAA